Molecule: long non-coding RNA, 1066 nt
Filed under: Cricetulus griseus (Chinese hamster)
Lineage: Eukaryota; Metazoa; Chordata; Mammalia; Rodentia; Cricetidae
Description: lncRNA (ENSCGRG00015042111.1)
Source: RNAcentral
GCUGAACCUUGCCAAAUCAGGGUAAGACGGCCUUUCAACCUCCCUGCUUCUGUGUUGGUCAGUCAGAUACUCUAGGCCUUAGCCAAAGCUGGUCGCCCCUACGCUGCUGUGAGACUUCGGGUGACUGUCCAGGUAGCUGGCUGUUUCUGUCUUCACUGUACCUUUUGGAAGUUGCUCGCCGGCACUUCCUGCCUACCCUAGUAUUGCUAUCCUCCUUCUCGGGUCUUUGAUGAGGUUGAAGAUUAGACUGUCACAAUUAUUGUUCUCUCUUCCUAGAUAGAAAUAUUAGGUACAAGACUUAAAUUUUCCAGCUUAGGACAACUCUAUAUCAUCUCUGUUAGGCCUUUACCCUAGGACUGGAUAUGUAGUUCUUGCCAUUUGCUCUUGUUGCUUCACUGGCAAUAGGUCUUGAGUGUGUUUGCUCUUACUUUUCCCUCUCUUGGAGCACACUUGAUAUUUGCUAUCUUUGUAUAUAGUUUUGUAUCAAGUCUAAAUCUUUUUCUUUAGACUAAAAAGGGAAUUGUAGUGAGAAAUCCACCCCACCCGCACCUGUGGCACUGACCAUAUCCACCCAUUUGGGCAGACAUGACAGAGAGUGAUUUUAGGUCUGGGGUCGGGGCACAGGUAGCUCUCUCUCUCUCUCUCUUGCUUCCAGUCAAGUCGCAGAGAGCAGCCUGUGUGGAUCCUUGGAGCGGGAACGUGUGGUGGUCAUCUGUUUCCUGUUGAGUAAUUCAAGACAGAGGUUCAAGCCAUGAUGUCUUCGAUUAGCCAGACUUGGAAGCCAGAUGUCGUCAGGUUGAAGAAAAAUCAUUACCCAAAAUAUUCAGAGGAGAGAGCAAAAAUGAAGAGUAAAAGCAACCUCAGGGCUCUCCAAGCUCAGAGCCGUGGACACAGGGAAGUAAGAGAGCCUGGGAGCAGUGAACAGAGGCGGUGCCCCAGCUUUCAUCCACAACAUGGCAGCAGAAGUUUCUGCCUCCAGAUAAGCCUGGAGAGGUAAUCAUGGCAGUGCCCUGGUAAGGAUGAGGCUCAUGGUUCCAGCGGAAAAUUCUAGCAUACCUCAUCCAGC